GGGUUUUUAGCUCAGCGGUAGAGCGUGGGACUCAUAAUCCUUUGGUCACAAGUUCAAAUCUUGUAAAGCCCA
This 72-nucleotide transfer RNA is filed under the name Candidatus Pinguicoccus supinus. It matches the Rfam family "tRNA". Rfam says of the family: Transfer RNA (tRNA) molecules are approximately 80 nucleotides in length. Their secondary structure includes four short double-helical elements and three loops (D, anti-codon, and T loops). The record is from Rfam by way of RNAcentral. Lineage: Bacteria; Pseudomonadati; Verrucomicrobiota.